UGGGGAAUAUUGGACAAUGGGCGCAAGCCUGAUCCAGCCAUGCCGCGUGGAUGAUGAAGGCCUUAGGGUUGUAAAGUCCUUUUAACGGGGAAGAUAAUGACGGUACCCGUAGAAUAAGCCCCGGCUAACUUCGUGCCAGCAGCCGCGGUAAUACGAAGGGGGCUAGCGUUGCUCGGAAUCACUGGGCGUAAAGCGCACGUAGGCGGCUUUCUAAGUCAGAGGUGAAAUCCUGGAGCUCAACUCCAGAACUGCCUUUGAUACUGGAAAGCUUGAGUUCGGGAGAGGUGAGUGGAACUGCGAGUGUAGAGGUGAAAUUCGUAGAUAUUCGCAAGAACACCAGUGGCGAAGGCGGCUCACUGGCCCGAUACUGACGCUGAGGUGCGAAAGCGUGGGGAGCAAACAGG
This 404-nucleotide ribosomal RNA is filed under the name uncultured bacterium. RNAcentral's name for it is "bacterial SSU rRNA". It matches the Rfam family "Bacterial small subunit ribosomal RNA", at positions 355 to 776 of the family's 1533-position model. The record is from RNAcentral.